RNAcentral lists this long non-coding RNA (339 nucleotides) under Salmo salar (Atlantic salmon). Its description in RNAcentral is "lncRNA (ENSSSAG00000096980.1)". The record is from RNAcentral. Lineage: Eukaryota; Metazoa; Chordata; Actinopteri; Salmoniformes; Salmonidae.
CUGUGCUUUGACCUCUUUCUCCCCUCUCUCUCCAGAUGAAAUCUCGCGUCUUGUGACGGCCGGCCGCCCAACAACCUGCCCACUUGACCCUAUCCCCUCCUCUCUUCUCCAGACCAUUUCCGGAGACCUUCUCCCCUACCUCACCUCGCUCAUCAACUCAUCCUUGACCGCUGGCUACGUCCCUUCCGUCUUCAAGAGAGCGAGAGUUGCCCCCCUUCUGAAAAAACCUACACUCGAUCCCUCCGAUGUCAACAACUACAGACCAACCUAUCUGCUGCCUUUGAUACUGUGAACCAUCAGAUCCUCCUCUCCACCCUCUCCGAGCUGGGCAUCUCCGGC